GAAGGUAUAGCUCAGUGAUAGAGCAUGUGCUUAGCAUGCACAAGAUCCUGGGUUCAAUCCCCAGUACCUCCA
RNAcentral lists this transfer RNA (72 nucleotides) under Camelus bactrianus (Bactrian camel). It matches the Rfam family "tRNA". From Rfam's summary of the family: Transfer RNA (tRNA) molecules are approximately 80 nucleotides in length. Their secondary structure includes four short double-helical elements and three loops (D, anti-codon, and T loops). Further hydrogen bonds mediate the characteristic L-shaped molecular structure. tRNAs have two regions of fundamental functional importance: the anti-codon, which is responsible for specific mRNA codon recognition, and the 3' end, to which the tRNAs corresponding amino acid is attached (by aminoacyl-tRNA synthetases). tRNAs cope with the degeneracy of the genetic code in two manners: having more than one tRNA (with a specific anti-codon) for a particular amino acid; and 'wobble' base-pairing, i.e. permitting non-standard base-pairing at the 3rd anti-codon position. RNAcentral also lists the same sequence under 1 other name. The record is from Rfam by way of RNAcentral. Lineage: Eukaryota; Metazoa; Chordata; Mammalia; Artiodactyla; Camelidae.